UUCCUACGGGGGGCAGCAGUGGGGGAUAUUGCACAAUGGGGGAAACCCUGAUGCAGCGACGCCGCGUGUGGGAAGACGGUCCUCUGGAUUGUAAACCACUGUCCCCAGGGACGAAAAUGACGGUACCUGACUAAGAAGCCCCGGCUAACUACGUGCCAGCAGCCGCGGUAAUACGUAGGGGGCAAGCGUUAUCCGGAUUUACUGGGUGUAAAGGGAGCGUAGACGGAUAAGCAAGUCUGAUGUGAAAAUCCGUGGCCCAACCCCGGAAUUGCAUUGGAAACUGCAUAUCUAGAGUGUCGGAGAGG
Molecule: ribosomal RNA, 305 nt
Filed under: uncultured bacterium
Lineage: Bacteria
Description: bacterial SSU rRNA
Rfam family: Bacterial small subunit ribosomal RNA
Source: RNAcentral